UGGGGAAUAUUGGACAAUGGGCGCAAGCCUGAUCCAGCCAUGCCGCGUGAGUGAUGAAGGCCCUAGGGGUGUAAAGCUCUUUCACCGGUGAAGAUAAUGACGGUAACCGGAGAAGAAGUCCCGGCUAACUUCGUGCCAGCAGCCGCGGUAAUACGAAGGGGGCUAGCGUUGUUCGGAUUUACUGGGCGUAAAGCGCACGUAGGCGGACUUUUAAGUCAGGGGUGAAAUCCCGGGGCUCAACCCCGGAACUGCCUUUGAUACUGGAAGUCUAGAGUAUGGUAGAGGUGAGUGGAAUUCCGAGUGUAGAGGUGAAAUUCGUAGAUAUUCGGAGGAACACCAGUGGCGAAGGCGGCUCACUGGACCAUUACUGACGCUGAGGUGCGAAAGCGAGGGGAGCAAACAGG
Molecule: ribosomal RNA, 404 nt
Filed under: Actinomycetes bacterium
Lineage: Bacteria; Bacillati; Actinomycetota; Actinomycetes
Description: Actinobacteria bacterium partial 16S ribosomal RNA
Rfam family: Bacterial small subunit ribosomal RNA
Source: RNAcentral